RNAcentral lists this ribosomal RNA (511 nucleotides) under Althos obscurator. RNAcentral describes it as "partial small subunit ribosomal RNA". Lineage: Eukaryota; Metazoa; Arthropoda; Insecta; Hemiptera; Coreidae. The record is from RNAcentral.
UAGGUUAAUAAAAUGAUUAAGAUUGAUUCUGUCUUAAAUUUGAAUUGGCUUUUUUGUUAAUAUUAAAUAUAAGUUUUUUGGCGUGUUAAUUAUUUUAUCUAAAUGAUAAUUUUAUUUUAUUUAUAGUUUUUAAUUUUGGAUAUUUCAUAAUUGUAGAUUCAGUUAAUUUAAGUAGAACCGUUUAAGGUUGUGCCAGCAUACGCGGUUAUACAUCCGGUUCAAGUUAAUUUUUUUGGUUGUUUAUUAAUUAUUUAUUUUGAGGAUUAGUUUUAUUUUAUAAGGUGAAAUUUUUAAUUUAUAUUAUAUUCUUUUGGUUUAAGAUAAUAAGAAAUUUGGAGUUAUAAACUAGGAUUAGAUACCCUAUUAUUCUAAAUGUAAAAGUUUAAUCAUAGUAUUAAUAGUUAUGAUCUUUAAAUUAAAAGGAUUUGGCGGUAAUUUAGUCUUUUCAGAGGAACCUGUUCUGUAAUCGAUAAUCCACGUUGGAUUCUACUUUAAUUUUUGUUUGUAUAUC